This 994-nucleotide ribosomal RNA is filed under the name uncultured bacterium. RNAcentral describes it as "bacterial SSU rRNA". It matches the Rfam family "Bacterial small subunit ribosomal RNA", at positions 45 to 1054 of the family's 1533-position model. The record is from RNAcentral.
UGCUUAACACAUGCAAGUCGAACGGAAAGGCCCUUCGGGGUACUCGAGUGGCGAACGGGUGAGUAACACGUGGGUGAUCUGCCCUGCACUUUGGGAUAAGCCUGGGAAACUGGGUCUAAUACCGAAUACACCUCUGGAGUUGCAUGAUUCUGGGGGGAAAGCUUUUGCGGUGUGGGAUGGGCCCGCGGCCUAUCAGCUUGUUGGUGAGGUUAUGGCUCACCAAGGCGACGACGGGUAGCCGGCCUGAGAGGGUGUCCGGCCACACUGGGACUGAGAUACGGCCCAGACUCCUACGGGAGGCAGCAGUGGGGAAUAUUGCACAAUGGGCGCAAGCCUGAUGCAGCGACGCCGCGUGAGGGAUGACGGCCUUCGGGUUGUAAACCUCUUUCGCCAGGGACGAAGCGCAAGUGACGGUACCUGGAGAAGAAGCACCGGCCAACUACGUGCUAGCAGCCGCGGUAAUACGUAGGGUGCGAGCGUUGUCCGGAAUUACUGGGCGUAAAGAGCUCGUAGGUGGUUUGUCGCGUUGUUCGUGAAAACUCACAGCUUAACUGUGGGCGUGCGGGCGAUACGGGCAGACUGGAGUACUGCAGGGGAGACUGGAAUUCCUGGUGUAGCGGUGGAAUGCGCAGAUAUCAGGAGGAACACCGGUGGCGAAGGCGGGUCUCUGGGCAGUAACUGACGCUGAGGAGCGAAAGCGUGGGGAGCGAACAGGAUUAGAUACCCUGGUAGUCCACGCCGUAAACGGUGGGUACUAGGUGUGGGUUUCCUUCCUUGGGAUCCGUGCCGUAGCUAACGCAUUAAGUACCCCGCCUGGGGAGUACGGCCGCAAGGCUAAAACUCAAAGGAAUUGACGGGGGCCCGCACAAGCGGCGGAGCAUGUGGAUUAAUUCGAAGCAACGCGAAGAACCUUACCAGGACUUGACAUCCCUCUGACAGUCCCUUAACCGGGAUCUCCCUUCGGGACAGAGUGACAGGUGGUGCAUGGUUGUCG